GACGAACGCUGGCGGCGUGCUUAACACAUGCAAGUCGAACGGAAAGGCCCUGCUUUUGUGGGGUGCUCGAGUGGCGAACGGGUGAGUAACACGUGAGUAACCUGCCCUUGACUUUGGGAUAACUUCAGGAAACUGGGGCUAAUACCGGAUAGGAGCUCCUGCUGCAUGGUGGGGGUUGGAAAGUUUCGGCGGUUGGGGAUGGACUCGCAGCUUAUCAGCUUGUUGGUGGGGUAGUGGCUUACCAAGGCUUUGACGGGUAGCCGGCCUGAGAGGGUGACCGGCCACAUUGGGACUGAGAUACGGCCCAGACUCCUACGGGAGGCAGCAGUGGGGAAUAUUGCACAAUGGGCGGAAGCCUGAUGCAGCAACGCCGCGUGCGGGAUGACGGCCUUCGGGUUGUAAACCGCUUUCGCCUGUGACGAAGCGUGAGUGACGGUAAUGGGUAAGGAAGCACCGGCUAACUACGUG
This 468-nucleotide ribosomal RNA is filed under the name uncultured bacterium. Its description in RNAcentral is "partial 16S ribosomal RNA". It matches the Rfam family "Bacterial small subunit ribosomal RNA", at positions 28 to 507 of the family's 1533-position model. The record is from RNAcentral.